CCGGCUAACUUCGUGCCAGCAGCCGCGGUAAUACGAAGGGGGCUAGCGUUGCUCGGAAUGACUGGGCGUAAAGGGCGUGUAGGCGGUUUACACAGUCAGAUGUGAAAUCCCCGGGCUUAACCUGGGAGCUGCAUUUGAUACGUGUAGACUAGAGUGUGAGAGAGGGUUGUGGAAUUCCCAGUGUAGAGGUGAAAUUCGUAGAUAUUGGGAAGAACACCGGUGGCGAAGGCGGCA
This 234-nucleotide ribosomal RNA is filed under the name Wolbachia endosymbiont of Drosophila subpulchrella. RNAcentral's name for it is "partial 16S ribosomal RNA". It matches the Rfam family "Bacterial small subunit ribosomal RNA", at positions 493 to 726 of the family's 1533-position model. The record is from RNAcentral. Lineage: Bacteria; Pseudomonadati; Pseudomonadota; Alphaproteobacteria; Rickettsiales; Anaplasmataceae.